UUAAGGUGGAUCGGGACUAUUCGACUGCGCAUAAUUUCAUGCAUGAAUUACAAUGCACACGAAAAGUAUUUGUCGUAAAUUCGACAUUAUUUUUUUUAAUAUUUUGAUUGAUUAGAAAUGUUAAAUCAUUGUAGGUAUGUCACUUAAAGAAUAUUUUCGUUAUUAUGUGUAUCUUUUAAAGGCUCAAAACGACAUUUCAUGCAUUUUCACCAUUUUCCCGCCAAAAUUCUAGUUUUGAUGCAAAAUAAAUUUUUUUCCUUAUCGGUGACCUAUGUUUCUUAUUUGCUCAUUCUUUAAAGCUAUAUUUCAGGUUUUUAUAUUACAGUUUUGGACCAAGUGUCAUAGAACGUUUUUUUGAUAUUCCGAUAAAAAUAUGUCAACACCUCUAUUUUCCCUAUCAUUUCAUUGAAAAAUGGUCCCUUUUGUAUACCUGUUUAAAAGUAAAAUUUUGAGCUUAAAUGGUCUGUGACCCCCUAUUUUUUUCGACCAAUUUGAUUCACUUUCUAUAAAGAAUAAAAUAACAAAAAAUACGGCACUUCUGAUAGAAAAUUCGAAUAGUCCCGAGCCACCUUAA
RNAcentral lists this long non-coding RNA (574 nucleotides) under Mytilus galloprovincialis (Mediterranean mussel). Lineage: Eukaryota; Metazoa; Mollusca; Bivalvia; Mytilida; Mytilidae. The record is from RNAcentral.